This 375-nucleotide ribosomal RNA is filed under the name Nanodromia narmkroi. Its description in RNAcentral is "partial 16S ribosomal RNA". Lineage: Eukaryota; Metazoa; Arthropoda; Insecta; Diptera; Hybotidae. The record is from RNAcentral.
UUAGUUUUUUAAUUGAAAGCUUGKAUGAAUGGKUGGACGAAAUAAAAACUGKUUCMUAAUAAUUUUUUUUAGAAUUUUAUUUUUUAGUUAAAAAGCUAAAAUUUAAUUAAAAGACGAGAAGACCCUAUAGAUCUUUAUAAAGAAAAAUUUAAUUAUUAUGUAGAUAAAUUUUGUAAUUAUUCUUUUUUUUAUUUUAUUGGGGUGAUAUUAAAAUUUGAUAAACUUUUAAUUUUGAAAAAUCAUUAAUUUAUGAAUUAUUGAUCCAUUAAUAUUGAUUAAAAAUUUAAGUUACCUUAGGGAUAACAGCGUAAUUUUUUUAGAGAGUUCUUAUCGAUAAAAAAGAUUGCGACCUCGAUGUUGGAUUAAGAUAUAAUU